AGCUUAGACAGAAUGCCAACACUAUGGACCAAGAGCAAGAACGUCCAUGUCUGGGGAAGGACAAAAGAAGGUGUCUGCUCAGCAGAGAGGCUAUCACAUUCCCUCUGCCUUUUUGUUCAUUUAGGAACCUCAGAAGUUUUGGUUGAUUUUGGGGUUGGAGGGUGAAUAUUAACUUUUUCUAUUAAUGCCUAUUAUUCAUUUCUAAAAACACUCUCAAAGACAAGCUGAAGAAUAUUUUUUCAUCUAUGUCUAUAUCCAUUAGCUCCAUAAAAUCAUCUAGUAAAAAUAGCUUUCAGAAGUUCUAAGUUCUUUCACCAAUAAGAAUCAUCAAUUACUCUACACAUAAAGAAACCAAAUCAAGUCUUCUAUGGUCCUAAGAGUAGCUGGCAGAGCAUCUUGAAGACAUCUUCCAUGUAAAAAUGCCUCGUCCUCUUCUGACAGUCCUCUACUUAAGCACAAGCAUCACUAAAGUUGCUGGUCCAUGAAAAUACUCUAGAGAAGAAGGUCCCAUCCAUAUCCAAGCAUGUCUGUCACCCAAGAAGCUCUAAGACAUUUGGAUAUCAAGACUGUAUCUCUUUUGGUUCUUAGAGAGAAGGACUGAAGUGCUCAGUAUGUGGAUUUAGAAGUAAGAGAAUUAUAGGGCUGGGGAAAUGGCUUAGUAUUUAUGAGUGAGUUGAAUUCCUAAUACCCACAUUGGGCAGCUCACAACUGCCUGUGACUUCAACUCCAAGAAGUCUGAAACCCUCUUGAGGACUCUAUUCGUGUUUUCCCAAACACAGAAUAACACAUACCAAAUAAUUGGAACUAAACAUUUUAAGAUUCAAUAAGAUAGAAUUAUGUUCAAAUGAAGUUAUUAUGGUGGGUCUUAAUACAAUAUGUCUAAUGUCCUCAUAAGAGGAAAUAGCAAACAUGAAAAUUUAGAUAUGUGGAGGGACAGAUCAUGUAUCAUGUAAAGCCAAAAUGAGAAGAAAAGCAUCUACAGGCCAUGGAGAGAUAUCUCAGAAGAAACAAGCCUUGACCUUGGACUUCCAGCCUCUAGUCUGACAAAACAGUACCUUUGAGUUGUGUUAGCCACUGGAUACGUUGGUGCACUCUUUUAGUAAAGCCCCAAGGGACUAACUAAGGCAAGUAUUUCAAAUUUACUUCAAAGUCUCCUAAUAAAGAUGUAGAAACUGAUCUUAUGAGAUCAAAAAAGCUUCUCAGGGCCACUAAGGUUCGAAAUAGGGUUGAGUGUCAAAAGCACAUAUGCAAACAUAUAUAGUCCAGAGCUCAUUCUAUGGCCUGCAUUAACUCUACUGACCAAUUUGGUAUCCUAGUGAUAGCCCCUUAAAUCUGGCCCUAGAGGCUGAUAGCACCAUGUUGAUAUGAUAUGCCCUUGACAUCUGAACUAACUUCUUGAUGCCUCUACUCAGCACUGAGAAGGAUCAGCCUUAUACUGACAAUCAUCCAUUUUUCCUACCAAGCAUCACCCCCACAGAGCAUAGAAAAGCUCUGGACUCACAGUACAGCUUUCUCAAAAAGGAUCUGAUUGAUUGGCCUGACAAUGAAGAAGACAGAAGUUAUCCCUCCUUUAUAGAAAUUUCUACAGGAAAUGUGAGAGCCACUGAUUUACUUACACAGAGUCUAAGCUGGUGCUCACUACAGGAUUCAAAGGGGGUUACUUCCCAUAUCCAUCCUUUGGAACUGUCUCUGUCCAAUUAUAGACAGAGUCCCAGUUCUGUCACUACUUCUCUCUUGAUCUUGAACCUGUAUCUCAGAUAAUUCAAGUACUCAUUCCUUAUAUGUAGAUGGGAAAAAAAUAAAAGCUUGCUUUAUCUACCUCAUGGACACCCAGAAAAUAUCAAAUAAGAUAAUGUGUAAGAGAGCACUUGGAAAUGUAUAAAAAUCUUAUUCAAAUAGGAAAUGUGACAAACCCUUCAUCCUCCUAAAACGUGGAUCAAAAUGAAUAUCUGUCUGAAUGAGCAGCAGUCACAAUAAGAGUAUGAAGCCUGAUUGACAGUCAGCUUACGUGAAUGGCUUUCAAAUGUAUGGAUGGAAUUUUGGCACAUAAUGAAAAGAACAGGAAACUUGAAAUCAAGAUAGUAGAGGAGGUUUUGGGCUCAGCCCCAGUAUGAUAUGUGUGAUUAUUUUUAUAUAAGACCCUAAGUCCGCUGAUGUGUGUCUGCAUUCCAAAGAUGAAAAUAAUGAUGUCCACCUCAUCUUUCCAAAAAUGGUUUGAUAAAGACCAAUUACAUAUAA
Non-coding RNA from Rattus norvegicus (Norway rat), 2238 nucleotides. The record is from RefSeq and is a predicted model, not a curated record. Lineage: Eukaryota; Metazoa; Chordata; Mammalia; Rodentia; Muridae.